GAUGGUAUGGCUCAAGUGGUAGAGCACAUGCUUAGCAUGCAUGAGGUCCUGGGUUCAAUCCCCAGUACCUCCU
Molecule: transfer RNA, 73 nt
Filed under: Camelus bactrianus (Bactrian camel)
Lineage: Eukaryota; Metazoa; Chordata; Mammalia; Artiodactyla; Camelidae
Also listed under: 2 other names
Rfam family: tRNA
About the family: Transfer RNA (tRNA) molecules are approximately 80 nucleotides in length. Their secondary structure includes four short double-helical elements and three loops (D, anti-codon, and T loops).
Source: Rfam by way of RNAcentral